AGCGAACGCUGGCGGCAGGCUUAACACAUGCAAGUCGAACGGUCCUUCGGGAUAGUGGCGGACGGGUGAGUAACACGUGGGAACGUACCCUUAGGUUCGGAACAACACAGGGAAACUUGUGCUAAUACCGGAUAAGCCCUCCGAGGGAAAGAUUUAUCGCCUUUGGAGCGGCCCGCGUCUGAUUAGCUUGUUGGUGAGGUAAUGGCUCACCAAGGCUACGAUCAGUAGCUGGUCUGAGAGGAUGGCCAGCCACACUGGGACUGAGACACGGCCCAGACUCCUACGGGAGGCAGCAGUGGGGAAUCUUGCGCAAUGGGCGAAAGCCUGACGCAGCCAUGCCGCGUGGAUGAUGAAGGUCUUAGGAUUGUAAAAUCCUUUCACCGGGGACGAUAAUGACGGUACCCGGAGAAGAAGCCCCGGCUAACUUCGUGCCAGCAGCCGCCGCCG
This 447-nucleotide ribosomal RNA is filed under the name uncultured bacterium. RNAcentral describes it as "partial 16S ribosomal RNA". It matches the Rfam family "Bacterial small subunit ribosomal RNA", at positions 29 to 523 of the family's 1533-position model. The record is from RNAcentral.